UGGGGAAUUUUGGACAAUGGGCGAAAGCCUGAUCCAGCAAUGCCGCGUGUGUGAAGAAGGCCUUCGGGUUGUAAAGCACUUUUGUCCGGAAAGAAAUCCUUGGCUCUAAUACAGUCGGGGGAUGACGGUACCGGAAGAAUAAGCACCGGCUAACUACGUGCCAGCAGCCGCGGUAAUACGUAGGGUGCAAGCGUUAAUCGGAAUUACUGGGCGUAAAGCGUGCGCAGGCGGUUUGCUAAGACCGAUGUGAAAUCCCCGGGCUCAACCUGGGAACUGCAUUGGUGACUGGCAGGGCUAGAGUAUGGCAGAGGGGGGUAGAAUUCCACGUGUAGCAGUGAAAUGCGUAGAGAUGUGGAGGAAUACCGAUGGCGAAGGCAGCCCCCUGGGCCAAUACUGACGCUCAUGCACGAAAGCGUGGGGGAGCAAAACAGGAUUAGAUACCCCUGGUAGUCCACGCCCUAAACGAUGUCAACUAGUUGUUGGGGAUUCAUUUCCUUAGUAACGUAGCUAACGCGUGAAGUUGACCGCCUGGGGAGUACGGUCGCAAGAUUAAAACUCAAAUGAAUUGACGGGGUCAUAGCUGUUUCCU
Molecule: ribosomal RNA, 589 nt
Filed under: uncultured bacterium
Lineage: Bacteria
Description: partial 16S ribosomal RNA
Rfam family: Bacterial small subunit ribosomal RNA
Source: RNAcentral